GGCGGCGUGCCUAACACAUGCAGUCGAACGAGAAAGUGGAGCUUGCUUCAUGAGUAAAGUGGCAGACGGGUGAGUAACACGUGUACAACCUACCCUUGUAGUGGGGAAUAACACCGCGAAAGUGGUGCUAAUACCGCAUAACAUCUUCAGGUCGCAUGAUCUGAAGAUUAAAAGCGCAAGUUGCUCGAGGAGGGGUUCGCGCCUGAUUAGCUAGUUGGUGAGGUAACGGCCCACCAAGGCAACGAUCAGUAGCCGGCCUGAGAGGGCGAACGGCCACACUGGAACUGAGACACGGUCCAGACUCCUACGGGAGGCAGCAGUGGGGAAUUUUGCGCAAUGGGCGAAAGCCUGACGCAGCAACGCCGCGUGGAGGAUGAAGGCCCUCGGGUCGUAAACUCCUGUCAGCGGGGACGAAUGCUUCGCAAGAAGUUUGACUGUACCCGUUGAGGAAGCCACGGCUAACUCCGUGCCAGCAGCCGCGGUAAUACGGAGGUGGCAAGCGUUGUUCGGAAUUACUGGGCGUAAAGGGCGCGUAGGCGGCUUUGCAAGUCAGAUGUGAAAGCCCCGGGCUUAACUCGGGAAUUGCAUCUGAAACUGCUUAGCUUGAGUCCUGGAGGGGAUAGUGGAAUUCCCAGUGUAGCGGUGAAAUGCGUANAUAUUGGGAGGAACACCUGUGGCGAAGGCGGCUAUCUGGACAGUGACUGACGCUGAGGCGCGAAAGCUAGGGGAGCGAACGGGAUUAGAUACCCCGGUAGUCCUAGCUGUAAACGAUGGGCACUUGGUGUUGGGGGUAUUGAGUCCCUCGGUGCCGGAGUUAACACGUUAAGUGCCCCGCCUGGGGAGUACGGUCGCAAGACUGAAACUCAAAGGAAUUGACGGGGGCCCGCACAAGCGGUGGAGCAUGUGGUUCAAUUCC
This 916-nucleotide ribosomal RNA is filed under the name uncultured Acidobacteriota bacterium. RNAcentral's name for it is "bacterial SSU rRNA". It matches the Rfam family "Bacterial small subunit ribosomal RNA", at positions 38 to 953 of the family's 1533-position model. Lineage: Bacteria; Pseudomonadati; Acidobacteriota. The record is from RNAcentral.